AUUAGCCAGCCCUUUAUGGGGUGAAGAACCAAAUUUGGUCACUUGAGUGGGUGGUUUAACAUUAACCUCGCAUGCCUCGUUUAUGACGACAUUUUCGUGUUUGUUUGAGACAAACGAGAAGCUGCGAAAUGGACUGGAAGCAGCUGAUCGACGCAACUGGUCUCCGACAGGUUCGCGAAUGUGAAAAGGACACAUGGGGGGGGGGGAAGGUGGGAAGUGGAAAUGAGGCAUCGGUGUAAAGAGGAGCGAGAAACGGGUGAAGAAGCAGCCAAUGGAUCAAAGAUUCCAGCUUCUAUUUGGGGGCUCAGCUCAAGCUGGAGCGUAAAAUCAAACGCCAGUGAGCCAGAUUCCGACUGACACCUCCUCUAUAACUUAUGUUCUUUUUUUUUUUAAAGCAUAUGGAGACAUCCUUUAAGCACUAAAAAAGAAUCUGGGUGAAUAUCAGUGAGCAGCAGAGUGUUAUCGUUUGUGAUCCAAGGAUUCAAACCUACUGUCAAGCAGUAAAUAAAAAAGAAUGUGUGGGCCAGAAGAUGUGCAAAUGAGUUCAAUGCACAAGCUAUGCUAGAAUAUCUUUUCUCUGGGGAUGAACACAAAAGGGAGUCACUGCUAGCACACUUUCCUCUCCCCCUCCUGGAAUAUACUCCAUCUUUAAAGCUGCGUGGAAGCCUAACAGUCACAAAGUACCUUCUGUUCUGCAAAUAGUGAGAAAAAAAGAGCCAGACAGACAUGGAUUGGGGGCAGGAUGAAAGAGUUACACAGCAAUCUGUUCCUCAUACAACGAUGCAAAAAAAAAAAAAAAAAAAGGCAGAACAGGACGUGAUAAAGUUUACGGUGCUGUUGUUGAAUAUGGAUGGUAGAAUUACUUUAAACAUGGGCUUUAACAAAUGGUAACCUCUGUUGAUGCUAUAUUGCUCAAUAAAUUCUGAGCAAUAUAUAUUAUUAUUAUUAUUAUUAUUUUGUCUCUUUCUUUGUGGCAGAAAUUGUGAAGUGGACGCAGACUUAGCUAGCAGCACUCCAUAGCAGACAGCUGAGAUUUUUAAGCCUGGAGAGUUAAUGACUAAUCCUGACCUAAAGCCUACAGCGUGAUUGGUUUGAGCCAAUUAUACAAGGUCCCUUCCCUAUUUUGCUUAUUGGCUGGCGAGAAGCAGAAUGGGGGGGGUUGCUGAAACUGGCAGUCUUAGGAUGGGGGAAUUUGAUUAUUUAGUGACAGUAAAGGAUUUUGAUGCAUUGUAGUCCACUACAUUGGCACUCUGGAACUGAUGAGUCAGUCUCCACUCAAGGACAUUCCGGAUGGUACGAUGACAUCAGUGGCAACGUAUAAACUAAACAACUAAGCGUGGCGAUAGUGCGGGGUGAUGUGAUUGCAAAGACAGCGAGGGACAAAAGGGCUCUUGGUACAGACUAAAACAAUAGUAAGGACUUCUUAUUUAAACAAUGGAGAGAGUAACUACAUACAGCAGGGCAACCUUAACAGCUGUUGUGUCUGUGGAGGAACAUUACUGUAAAUAAUUCGUAGAGGGUUUGG
Molecule: long non-coding RNA, 1525 nt
Organism: Syngnathus acus (greater pipefish)
Lineage: Eukaryota; Metazoa; Chordata; Actinopteri; Syngnathiformes; Syngnathidae
Exons: 2
Source: RefSeq, a predicted model, not a curated record